AUGAAUUAGAAGUUCUUGUGAUGUAAAAAAACAUAGGUUAAGGACAACUCGGGUGAAGAACAACACAGCGAAGAAGAAGACGAGUUGAAAAAAAUUAGGGACGUUUCGUAUUUCUGUUGAUGAUGAUGAGAU
This is a small nucleolar RNA of Arabidopsis thaliana (thale cress), 132 nucleotides long. It matches the Rfam family "Small nucleolar RNA snoR9". From Rfam's summary of the family: snoR9 is a member of the C/D class of snoRNA which contain the C (UGAUGA) and D (CUGA) box motifs. The record is from Rfam. Lineage: Eukaryota; Viridiplantae; Streptophyta; Magnoliopsida; Brassicales; Brassicaceae.